UGGGGAAUAUUGCACAAUGGGCGCAAGCCUGAUGCAGCCAUGCCGCGUGUGUGAAGAAGGCCUUCGGGUUGUAAAGCACUUUCAGCGAGGAGGAAGGUGGUGAGCUUAAUACGUUCAUCAAUUAACGUUACUCGCAGAAGAAGCACCGGCUAACUCCGUGCCAGCAGCCGCGGUAAUACGGAGGGUGCAAGCGUUAAUCGGAAUUACUGGGCGUAAAGCGCACGCAGGCGGUUUGUUAAGUCAGAUGUGAAAUCCCCGGGCUCAACCUGGGAACUGCAUUUGAAACUGGCAAGCUAGAGUCUCGUAGAGGGGGGUAGAAUUCCAGGUGUAGCGGUGAAAUGCGUAGAGAUCUGGAGGAAUACCGGUGGCGAAGGCGGCCCCCUGGACGAAGACUGACGCUCAGGUGCGAAAGCGUGGGGAGCAAACA
Molecule: ribosomal RNA, 427 nt
Filed under: uncultured bacterium
Lineage: Bacteria
Description: bacterial SSU rRNA
Rfam family: Bacterial small subunit ribosomal RNA
Source: RNAcentral